UAGGGAAUCUUCGGCAAUGGACGAAAGUCUGACCGAGCAACGCCGCGUGAGUGAAGAAGGUUUUCGGAUCGUAAAACUCUGUUGUUAGAGAAGAACAAGGACGUUAGUAACUGAACGUCCCCUGACGGUAUCUAACCAGAAAGCCACGGCUAACUACGUGCCAGCAGCCGCGGUAAUACGUAGGUGGCAAGCGUUGUCCGGAUUUUUUGGGCGUAAAGCGAGCGCAGGCGGUUUCUUAAGUCUGAUGUGAAAGCCCCCGGCUCAACCGGGGAGGGUCAUUGGAAACUGGGAGACUUGAGUGCAGAAGAGGAGAGUGGAAUUCCAUGUGUAGCGGUGAAAUGCGUAGAUAUAUGGGGGAACACCAGUGGCGAAGGCGGCUCUCUGGUCUGUAACUGACGCUGAGGCUCGAAAGCGUGGGGAGCAAACAGG
This 429-nucleotide ribosomal RNA is filed under the name Gemmatimonadota bacterium. Its description in RNAcentral is "Gemmatimonadetes bacterium partial 16S ribosomal RNA". It matches the Rfam family "Bacterial small subunit ribosomal RNA", at positions 355 to 776 of the family's 1533-position model. The record is from RNAcentral. Lineage: Bacteria; Pseudomonadati; Gemmatimonadota.